Long non-coding RNA from Hemicordylus capensis (graceful crag lizard), 2091 nucleotides. RefSeq lists it as uncharacterized. The record is from RefSeq and is a predicted model, not a curated record. The transcript has 3 exons. Lineage: Eukaryota; Metazoa; Chordata; Lepidosauria; Squamata; Cordylidae.
GUGGCAGCAGCGGGCAGGCUUUGCCCCACUCUACUACCACCGGAGUGUGGGCUCUCCUCCUCUGAACGGCACACCUGCGCUGUUUGAGUAGGGAGACCCUUGUGUGCCAGCAACAUACUCAAGCGGCGCAGAAGCGCUGUUCGGAAGAAGGGAAGCCUGCGCACCGGGCGGUAGUGGAGUGAGGGGAAGCCAGGAGGAAGCCCAACCGCCGCCGCACUAAAGAUGUAAAGAUGGCGGUAAAGAUGUGAGGUAGCGACGGCGUGGCGAGGGCACCCCCACCCCCAGAGUAGGCAGAGCUGAAUCUGAACAAGGCCUCAGAAGGGCCACUUAGGUCCAGCUGUGGAAGAAAAAGCGUGACAAAGAUGAGAGUGCUUCUGAUCAUGUACCAAGUACAACAGCAGUUAAUAGCAGCAAUCAUCCCCUCUGAGGGCUGACGGAUGGGAAGGACCCAGCCUUUCCCUGGCUCUCCAAUACAGACGUGCUUGAGAGCUAAAUAGGACACAAGGGUGGACAACCUGAGGCUCUCCAGCUAACUGCUGUACUACAACUCCCAUCAUACCCAUCUUAAUUGUGGCUGCGGAUGAUGGGAGUUGUAGUCAAACAACAGCUGGAGAGCCUUAGGUUGGCCCCCUCUGUUCUAAAGGCCAGACUCGGUGUUCUGAGGAGAAAUCUUCGAGGAGAGAAAUGGCGGAGAGCACUGUGAGAGAGGGACCAAACUCGAUCCCUCGAUUAUCUCAAAGGAAGAUCGCACAGGCUUCCUGGCAGGUUAUGGCACUAAAUCACAGGGAUUUUUGGAACUGCUGUCUUGUGUUCUUGCCCAAAAGUUCCCUGCAAAAUAUACGAGGCUUGCCACAGGUUGCACCCUUUGUUACAGAAGUACAAACACAUUUGUGCAAGCACACCAGUCUGGAAUGCAAGCAAAGAAACCAAAAGCAGGAGUCGACAGAUAACCACAACCAAAGCCAUAGGGAAUCAGAUUUUAAAAAUAUAAAGAGGGACAGGACCUUGCAGAUCUCCUGGGGCAGGGAGUUCCACUGUCUAGGUAAAGCUACAGAAAAGGUAUUCCCACCACCAGAGCAGUGGAUGGCAGCAAAAUACACAGAUAGGCCUCCCCAGAGAAUCUCAGAGUGUUUUUGGUGCUUAUUUUUGCUAUAGGGGUUUAUAUUGUGUGUUAUCAAAGGAGCAAACAAGAUCGGCACAAAAAGACAACAAUGAAUGAAAACAAACGACUCAAUGUCCCUGCCCCAAAAUGAUAAGUAUUGUAUAAUUUGGGAAAACUAAACGUCACUUCUAUUCCGAAAACUGAACUCACUUUUUGGACAGUACAAGGCUAUAGCGGCAACUAGGAGGCCAGUUUUUGAAUUCCAGAUUUAGUCACAGAAAUUAUUGAGAGGUGUCUCAACCUUGGGUCCCCAGAUGUGGUUGGACUUCAAAUCCCAUCAUCCCCAGCCACCAGAGACAAUGGUGACUGGGGGGUGAUGGGAGCUGUAGUCCACCCAUAUCGGGGGACCCAAGGCUGAGAACCCCUGGCUUAAAACAAUGGAAAGAGAUACCUGUGGUUAUGUUCUAGUCACAACAAAGCCUUUGACAUCCUAAUUAUUUUGCCCCGGUGAUGCAGUCAAUGGCUACGCAAUCCCCAGUUUGGCAGGUUACAGUUGGUGACUAACAUGAUGUAUGACUCACACCUCAAGGAACUGGCAUGCCCAACUUCAGGCUAGUUCACACAUGCACAGUCAUUACUCUUCAGCCCUAGCAUUGAGUGACUCUGCAGAUAGCGCUUUUUCUACUUACCUACCUGUUGGACCUCAUUCACCACAUGAAUCUGCCAGGGCCCUCCACCGAUCAUAUCGACAGAUUCGGCCAUGGGGUCAAAAGAUAGGGCCUUCUCAGUUGUGGCCCCUAAGCUCUGGAAUCUCCUCCCAGAAGAGCUUUGCCAUGCUCUCUCCCUUAGGGUUUUUAUUUGUUCAGAGAGGCUUUUUAAAUGUCUUUUGUUACAGUCUGAAGGGUUGUUAAUUUUUAAUUGGGUCUGUUUUAAUCAAUUUAUUUUUAUACUGUGUUUUAGAUGUUUUUAUUGCCCCAAGCAGUAUUGUA